Molecule: ribosomal RNA, 497 nt
Filed under: uncultured bacterium
Lineage: Bacteria
Description: partial 16S ribosomal RNA
Rfam family: Bacterial small subunit ribosomal RNA
Source: RNAcentral
GAUGAACGCUGGCGGCGUGCCUAAUACAUGCAAGUCGAGCGAACAGACGAGGAGCUUGCUCCUCUGACGUUAGCGGCGGACGGGUGAGUAACACGUGGAUAACCUACCUAUAAGACUGGGAUAACUUCGGGAAACCGGAGCUAAUACCGGAUAACAUGUUGAACCGCAUGGUUCAACAGUGAAAGACGGUCUUGCUGUCACUUAUAGAUGGAUCCGCGCCGCAUUAGCUAGUUGGUAAGGUAACGGCUUACCAAGGCAACGAUGCGUAGCCGACCUGAGAGGGUGAUCGGCCACACUGGAACUGAGACACGGUCCAGACUCCUACGGGAGGCAGCAGUAGGGAAUCUUCCGCAAUGGGCGAAAUCCUGACGGAGCAACGCCGCGUGAGUGAAGAAGGUCUUCGGAUCGUAAAACUCUGUUAUUAGGGAAGAACAAAUGUGUAAGUAACUAUGCACGUCUUGUCGGUACCUAAUCAGAAAGCCACGGCUAACUACGUG